AGCUGGCCCCAGUGCAGUGGGGUUUAUAACUAAUGGAUCACAACCAGAUACAGAUUUCUUUGUUCCUUCUCCUACUGCUUUACUUGACUAGCCGCUUAA
This is an unclassified non-coding RNA of Microcebus murinus (gray mouse lemur), 99 nucleotides long. It matches the Rfam family "Y RNA". Rfam says of the family: Y RNAs are components of the Ro ribonucleoprotein particle (Ro RNP), in association with Ro60 and La proteins. The Y RNAs and Ro60 and La proteins are well conserved, but the function of the Ro RNP is not known. The record is from Ensembl. NCBI's taxonomy places the organism in Eukaryota, Metazoa, Chordata, Mammalia, Primates, Cheirogaleidae.